This is a long non-coding RNA of Zalophus californianus (California sea lion), 815 nucleotides long. RefSeq lists it as uncharacterized. The record is from RefSeq and is a predicted model, not a curated record. The transcript has 3 exons. NCBI's taxonomy places the organism in Eukaryota, Metazoa, Chordata, Mammalia, Carnivora, Otariidae.
AGCGUGCUGCACGGAGGGCAAACUGCGCGGAGCGCAAACUGCACGGAGAUGCCGGGUUCGGGAGGCCCGCGGUCGGGGAUUUCCUAAAGGAAGCACCUCGCAGGGGCCCUCAGGGGGUUAGGAGCGAGAGCUCCGGCCUGGAGGACCGGGUUCUAGACAGCAGUCAGAGUCUAGUUUCCUGCGGGACAUCCUACAAAUCGCUUCCCUCAGUGGGCCUCGGUUUCCCCAUGUAUCAGCCGAGCUCGUCACCCCGGGUCCCCUGAGCUCCAGUAGCUACCUCUUGCUGCCUCCGGGGUCAGAAACCAAGGGUGAUGAGUGAUGGGAAGGGUCACGGGACUUCAAGAAAGCUAGUUAAGAGGCGCUCCUCUUAAGCUCACUGAGGCAAGAAGACUCCAAGCAUGAAAACCACCAAGCGCCAACAACUGCAACCUACUCAUUGUACAGGACAGCCACCCUUGAACCUAGCCACCCUGCUGUGAGGAAGCCCACACCACAUGGAGAGAGGACAGGAGGUGCUCUGGCUGACAUCUCCAGCUAGGCUCUCAGCUCACAACCAGCAUCACUCAUCAGAUAAGUGGUGAACUGAGAUUAUUCCACCACCAGCCUUUGAGUCUUCCAGCCAAGGUCGCAGACAAGAAGCAGAGAUAAAGCCAACCCUGCUGUGCCCUGUCUGAAUUUCUCUCCCACAGAAAACAAGAGAUAAGAAGCGAUCAUUGUUGUUUUAAGCCAGUAAGUUUUGGGGUAUUUUGUUAUGCAGCAUUAGAUGAUUAAUUCUGUGAAACGACACUUCCUGAAAUGACAAAUAAUAAAAUGGA